GGAACAUACCGAAUGGCAUGUAAAUACAUGGUUGGGGAAUAGAACCAGCAAAGACAUUAGUAGGUGAAAUUAAAGAUCUUGGGAUUGGAUCUUGGUUGGAGACUACGUGCAAGAAGCUUGAAUUCCAUGAUGGACGUUCUGAUAUGGCUUGUUGCAGGCCACUAUCUCCAAGAAGAGGUGAACCAAAAGUGAUACAAGUGGGACGCUUAUUACUGUCCUUAAGUAGCCAGAGAGUGAAUAGAGAUGCCACAGAACCUCCCAACGAAACUCCAGUGAUUAUUAGAGGACUAAAACUGUC
Molecule: unclassified non-coding RNA, 298 nt
Filed under: Hevea brasiliensis (rubber tree)
Lineage: Eukaryota; Viridiplantae; Streptophyta; Magnoliopsida; Malpighiales; Euphorbiaceae
Source: RNAcentral